CCCUUAGAUGUUCGGGGCCGCACGCGCGCUACACUGAAGGACUCAGCGUGUCUCUCCCCCUAUCCCGAAAGGGAUGGGCAACCCGUUGAACCUCCUUCGUGCCAGGGAUUGGGGUUUGCAAUUAUCCCCCAUGAACGAGGAAUUCCCAGUAAGCGCGAGUCAUCAGCUCGCGUUGAUUACGUCCCUGCCCUUUGUACACACCGCCCGUCGCUACUACCGAUUGGAUGGUUUAGUGAGACCCUCGGAUCGGUCCCGACUCGGGGUGGGCUUCUGCCCCGGUCGUGGUUUCGCCGAGAAGACGGUCAAACUUGACUAUCUAGAGGAAGUAAAAGUCGUAACA
This 340-nucleotide ribosomal RNA is filed under the name uncultured eukaryote. RNAcentral describes it as "partial 18S ribosomal RNA". It matches the Rfam family "Eukaryotic small subunit ribosomal RNA", at positions 1470 to 1796 of the family's 1831-position model. The record is from RNAcentral.